UGCAGAGGUCUCAAGCGUUGUUCGGAUUCAUUGGGCGUAAAGGGUGCGUAGGCGGCGCGGUAAGUCGGGUGUGAAAUCUCGGAGCUUAACUCCGAAACUGCAUUCGAUACUGCCGUGCUUGAGGACUGGAGAGGAGACUGGAAUUUACGGUGUAGCGGUGAAAUGCGUAGAUAUCGUAAGGAAGACCAGUGGCGAAGGCGGGUCUCUGGACAGUUCCUGACGCUGAGGCACGAAGGCCAGGGGAGCAAACGGG
RNAcentral lists this ribosomal RNA (253 nucleotides) under uncultured bacterium. RNAcentral's name for it is "partial 16S ribosomal RNA". It matches the Rfam family "Bacterial small subunit ribosomal RNA", at positions 524 to 776 of the family's 1533-position model. The record is from RNAcentral.